AGGAAACUCUGGUGGAGGCCCGUAGCGAUUCUGACGUGCAAAUCGAUCGUCAAAUUUGGGUAUAGGGGCGAAAGACUAAUCGAACCAUCUAGUAGCUGGUUCCCUCCGAAGUUUCCCUCAGGAUAGCUGUAGCCCUAAGCAGUUUUAUCAGGUAAAGCGAAUGAUUAGAGGUAUCGGGGAAGAAACUUCCUCGACCUAUUCUCAAACUUUAAAUAGGUAAGAAGUCCGACUUGCUCAAUUUGAAGCCGGACACAGAAUGCUGGGUUACUAGUGGGCCAUUUUUGGUAAGCAGAACUGGCGAUGCGGGAUGAACCGAACGCCGAGUUAAGGUGCCAAAGUCGACGCUCAUCAGAUCCCACAAAAGGUGUUGGUUGAUAUAGACAGCAGGACGGUGGCCAUGGAAGUCGGAAUCCGCUAAGGAGUGUGUAACAACUCACCUGCCGAAUCAACUAGCCCUGAAAAUGGAUGGCGCUUAAGCGUCGCACCUAUACUCGGCCCGUCGAGGCAAGAGCGAGGCCCCGACGAGUAGGAGGGCGCGGUGGUGGUGAUGCAGCCUUUGGCGUGAGCCUGGGUCAAACCGCCACUGGUGCAGAUCCUGGUGGUAGUAGCAAAUAUUCAAAUGAGAGCUUUGAAGACUGAAGUGGGGAAAGGUUCCAUGUGAACAGCAGUUGGACAUGGGUUAGUCGGUCCUAAGAGAUAGGGUAACUCCGUUUGAAAAGCGUGCAGUCCUUGCGGUGUGCACCAACCUGUCGAAAGGGAAUCGGGUCAAUAUUCCCGAACCGGAACACGGAUGUGGUGCCCCCGGCACCAAAGCGGCAACGCAAACGAACUCGGAGACGCCGGCGGGAGCCCCGGGAAGAGUUCUCUUUUCUUCUUAACAUGCUGUCACCCUGAAAUCGGUUUGCCCGGAGAUAGGGUCACAUGCCUGGUAAAGCGCCACACCUCUUGUGGCGUCCGGUGCACUCUCGACGGCCCGUGAAAAUCCGAGGGAGCA
Molecule: ribosomal RNA, 994 nt
Filed under: Thorectidae sp. UCMPWC1073
Lineage: Eukaryota; Metazoa; Porifera; Demospongiae; Dictyoceratida; Thorectidae
Description: eukaryotic LSU rRNA
Rfam family: Eukaryotic large subunit ribosomal RNA
Source: RNAcentral